This 453-nucleotide ribosomal RNA is filed under the name uncultured soil bacterium. RNAcentral describes it as "bacterial SSU rRNA". It matches the Rfam family "Bacterial small subunit ribosomal RNA", at positions 26 to 518 of the family's 1533-position model. The record is from RNAcentral.
AGAACGAACGCUGGCGGCAGGCUUAACACAUGCAAGUCGAACGGUUGUAGCAAUACAGCAGUGGCAGACGGGUGAGUAACACGUGGGAACCUUCCUAGGGGUACGGAACAACUCAGGGAAACUUGAGCUAAUACCGUAUACGUCCGUGAGGAGAAAGAUUUAUCGCCCCUAGACGGGCCCGCGUAGGAUUAGGUAGUUGGUGAGGUAACGGCUCACCAAGCCUACGAUCCUUAGCUGAUCUGAGAGGAUGAUCAGCCACACUGGGACUGAGACACGGCCCAGACUCCUACGGGAGGCAGCAGUGGGGAAUCUUGGACAAUGGGCGCAAGCCUGAUCCAGCCAUGCCGCGUGAGUGAAGAAGGCCCUUCGGGUUGUAAAGUCUACGUUUUACCAGGGACGAUAAUGACGGUACCUGGAGAAGUAACGCCCCGCAAACUCGACGCCAGCAGCCGC